GCUUCUGUAGUCUAGUGGUUAUGAUGCUCGCUUUACACGCGAGAGGUCCUGAGUUCGAGCCUCAGCAGAAGCA
RNAcentral lists this transfer RNA (73 nucleotides) under Clunio marinus. It matches the Rfam family "tRNA". Rfam says of the family: Transfer RNA (tRNA) molecules are approximately 80 nucleotides in length. Their secondary structure includes four short double-helical elements and three loops (D, anti-codon, and T loops). Lineage: Eukaryota; Metazoa; Arthropoda; Insecta; Diptera; Chironomidae. The record is from Rfam by way of RNAcentral.